CUAGCUGCGAGAAUUAAUGUGAAUUGCAGAACACAUUGAACACCGACACCUUGAACGCAAAUGGCGGCCUCGGGUCCGUCCCGAGGCCACGCCCGUCUGAGGGUCGGCU
Molecule: ribosomal RNA, 109 nt
Filed under: Lauria cylindracea
Lineage: Eukaryota; Metazoa; Mollusca; Gastropoda; Stylommatophora; Punctidae
Description: partial 5.8S ribosomal RNA
Rfam family: 5.8S ribosomal RNA
About the family: 5.8S ribosomal RNA (5.8S rRNA) is a component of the large subunit of the eukaryotic ribosome. It is transcribed by RNA polymerase I as part of the 45S precursor that also contains 18S and 28S rRNA.
Source: RNAcentral